CAGCAGCACACCGUGGUUUGUA
This 22-nucleotide non-coding RNA is filed under the name Ornithorhynchus anatinus (platypus). RNAcentral also lists the same sequence under 1 other name. Lineage: Eukaryota; Metazoa; Chordata; Mammalia; Monotremata; Ornithorhynchidae. The record is from RNAcentral.